GUGGGGAAUAUUGGGCAAUGGGGGCAACCCUGACCCAGCGACGCCGCGUGAGGGAAGAAGGCCUUAGGGUCGUAAACCUCUGUUGUGUGGGAAGAAGGAAGUGACGGUACCACACGAGGAAGUCCCGGCUAACUACGUGCCAGCAGCCGCGGUAAUACGUAGGGGACGAGCGUUGUCCGGACUUACUGGGCGUAAAGGGCGCGUAGGCGGUCAUUUAAGUCAGCGGUGAAAUGGUCCGGCUCAACCGGAUCAUGCGGUUGAAACUGGAUGACUGGAGUGCUGGAGAGGCAAGUGGAAUUCCCAGUGUAGCGGUGAAAUGCGUAGAUAUUAGGAAGAACACCAGUGGCGAAGGCGACUUUCUGGACGAAAACUGACGCUGAGGCGCGAAAGCCAGGGGAGCGAACGGGAUUAGAAACCCGGGUAGUCC
RNAcentral lists this ribosomal RNA (427 nucleotides) under uncultured bacterium. Its description in RNAcentral is "partial 16S ribosomal RNA". It matches the Rfam family "Bacterial small subunit ribosomal RNA", at positions 354 to 796 of the family's 1533-position model. The record is from RNAcentral.